Molecule: ribosomal RNA, 589 nt
Filed under: uncultured bacterium
Lineage: Bacteria
Description: partial 16S ribosomal RNA
Rfam family: Bacterial small subunit ribosomal RNA
Source: RNAcentral
UGGGGAAUAUUGGACAAUGGGCGCAAGCCUGAUCCAGCCAUGCCGCGUGUGUGAAGAAGGCCUUAGGGUUGUAAAGCACUUUCAGUGGGGAGGAAGGGUGUUGUGUUAAUAGCACAGCAUUUUGACGUUACCCACAGAAGAAGCACCGGCUAACUCCGUGCCAGCAGCCGCGGUAAUACGGAGGGUGCAAGCGUUAAAUCGGAAUUACUGGGCGUAAAGCGCACGCAGGCGGCUUUUUAAGUCGGAUGUGAAAGCCCCGGGCUCAACCUGGGAAUUGCAUCUGAUACUGGGAAGCUAGAGUAUGUGAGAGGGGGGUAGAAUUCCAAGUGUAGCGGUGAAAUGCGUAGAGAUUUGGAGGAAUACCAGUGGCGAAGGCGGCCCCCUGGCACAAUACUGACGCUCAGGUGCGAAAGCGUGGGGAGCAAAACAGGAUUAGAUACCCUGGUAGUCCACGCCGUAAACGAUGUCUACUAGAUGUUCGUGGUCUUGUACCGUGAGUAUCGCAGCUAACGCAUUAAGUAGACCGCCUGGGGAGUACGGUCGCAAGAUUAAAAACUCAAAUGAAUUGACGGGGUCAUAGCUGUUUCCU